RNAcentral lists this ribosomal RNA (373 nucleotides) under uncultured bacterium. RNAcentral describes it as "bacterial SSU rRNA". It matches the Rfam family "Bacterial small subunit ribosomal RNA", at positions 525 to 896 of the family's 1533-position model. The record is from RNAcentral.
ACGCAGGGUGCAAGCGUUGUUCGGAAUUACUGGGCGUAAAGGGCUCGUAGGUGGCCACCUAAGUCCGACGUGAAAUCCCUCGGCUCAACCGGGGAACUGCGUCGGAUACUGGGUGGCUUGAAUCCGGGAGAGGGACGUGGAAUUCCAGGUGUAGCGGUGAAAUGCGUAGAUAUCUGGAGGAACACCGGUGGCGAAGGCGGCGUCCUGGACCGGUAUUGACACUGAGGAGCGAAAGCCAGGGGAGCAAACGGGAUUAGAUACCCCGGUAGUCCUGGCCCUAAACGAUGAGUGCUUGGUGUGGCGGGUAUCGAUCCCCGCCGUGCCGGAGCUAACGCGUUAAGCACUCCGCCUGGGGAGUACGGUCGCAAGGCUG